RNAcentral lists this ribosomal RNA (253 nucleotides) under uncultured bacterium. RNAcentral describes it as "partial 16S ribosomal RNA". It matches the Rfam family "Bacterial small subunit ribosomal RNA", at positions 524 to 776 of the family's 1533-position model. The record is from RNAcentral.
UACGUAGGGGGCAAGCGUUGUCCGGAUUUAUUGGGCGUAAAGAGCGUGUAGGCGGCCAAGCAGGUCCGCUGUGAAAACUCGAGGCUCAACCUCGAGAGGUCGGUGGAAACCGUUUGGCUAGAGUCCGGAAGAGGAGAGUGGAAUUCCCGGUGUAGCGGUGAAAUGCGCAGAUAUCAGGAGGAACACCAAUGGCGAAGGCAGCUCGCUGGGACGUGACUGACGCUGAGACGCGAAAGCGUGGGGAGCAAACAGG